RNAcentral lists this ribosomal RNA (494 nucleotides) under uncultured bacterium. RNAcentral's name for it is "partial 16S ribosomal RNA". It matches the Rfam family "Bacterial small subunit ribosomal RNA", at positions 28 to 507 of the family's 1533-position model. The record is from RNAcentral.
GACGAACGCUGGCGGCGUGCUUAACACAUGCAAGUCGAACGGUGAAGCGCCUUCCUUUUUGGUGGGUGUGGAUGAGUGGCGAACGGGUGAGUAACACGUGAGUAACCUGCCCCCUUCUUCUGGAUAACCGCAUGAAAGUGUGGCUAAUACGGGAUAUUCUGGGUCUGUCGCAUGAUGGGUCUGGGAAAGAUAUUGUUUCGGUGGGGGAUGGGCUCGCGGCCUAUCAGCUUGUUGGUGGGGUGAUGGCCUACCAAGGCGGUGACGGGUAGCCGGCCUGAGAGGGUGGACGGUCACACUGGGACGGAGACACGGCCCAGACUCCGACGGGAGGCAGCAGUGAAGAUUAUUGAACAAUGGGAGGAAGCCUGAUGCAGCGACGCCGCGUGAGGGAUGGAGGCCUUCGGGUUGUGAACCUCUUUCGCCAGUGAAGCAGGCCUGCCUCGUUUGUGGGUGGGUUGACGGUAGCUGGAUAAGAAGCGCCGGCUAACUACGUG